Molecule: ribosomal RNA, 2256 nt
Filed under: Shigella sonnei
Lineage: Bacteria; Pseudomonadati; Pseudomonadota; Gammaproteobacteria; Enterobacterales; Enterobacteriaceae
Description: partial 23S ribosomal RNA
Rfam family: Bacterial large subunit ribosomal RNA
Source: RNAcentral
CACAUAUUGUGAGCUCGAUGAGUAGGGCGGGACACGUGGUAUCCUGUCUGAAUAUGGGGGGACCAUCCUCCAAGGCUAAAUACUCCUGACUGACCGAUAGUGAACCAGUACCGUGAGGGAAAGGCGAAAAGAACCCCGGCGAGGGGAGUGAAAAAGAACCUGAAACCGUGUACGUACAAGCAGUGGGAGCACGCUUAGGCGUGUGACUGCGUACCUUUUGUAUAAUGGGUCAGCGACUUAUAUUCUGUAGCAAGGUUAACCGAAUAGGGGAGCCGAAGGGAAACCGAGUCUUAACUGGGCGUUAAGUUGCAGGGUAUAGACCCGAAACCCGGUGAUCUAGCCAUGGGCAGGUUGAAGGUUGGGUAACACUAACUGGAGGACCGAACCGACUAAUGUUGAAAAAUUAGCGGAUGACUUGUGGCUGGGGGUGAAAGGCCAAUCAAACCGGGAGAUAGCUGGUUCUCCCCGAAAGCUAUUUAGGUAGCGCCUCGUGAAUUCAUCUCCGGGGGUAGAGCACUGUUUCGGCAAGGGGGUCAUCCCGACUUACCAACCCGAUGCAAACUGCGAAUACCGGAGAAUGUUAUCACGGGAGACACACGGCGGGUGCUAACGUCCGUCGUGAAGAGGGAAACAACCCAGACCGCCAGCUAAGGUCCCAAAGUCAUGGUUAAGUGGGAAACGAUGUGGGAAGGCCCAGACAGCCAGGAUGUUGGCUUAGAAGCAGCCAUCAUUUAAAGAAAGCGUAAUAGCUCACUGGUCGAGUCGGCCUGCGCGGAAGAUGUAACGGGGCUAAACCAUGCACCGAAGCUGCGGCAGCGACGCUUAUGCGUUGUUGGGUAGGGGAGCGUUCUGUAAGCCUGCGAAGGUGUGCUGUGAGGCAUGCUGGAGGUAUCAGAAGUGCGAAUGCUGACAUAAGUAACGAUAAAGCGGGUGAAAAGCCCGCUCGCCGGAAGACCAAGGGUUCCUGUCCAACGUUAAUCGGGGCAGGGUGAGUCGACCCCUAAGGCGAGGCCGAAAGGCGUAGUCGAUGGGAAACAGGUUAAUAUUCCUGUACUUGGUGUUACUGCGAAGGGGGGACGGAGAAGGCUAUGUUGGCCGGGCGACGGUUGUCCCGGUUUAAGCGUGUAGGCUGGUUUUCCAGGCAAAUCCGGAAAAUCAAGGCUGAGGCGUGAUGACGAGGCACUACGGUGCUGAAGCAACAAAUGCCCUGCUUCCAGGAAAAGCCUCUAAGCAUCAGGUAACAUCAAAUCGUACCCCAAACCGACACAGGUGGUCAGGUAGAGAAUACCAAGGCGCUUGAGAGAACUCGGGUGAAGGAACUAGGCAAAAUGGUGCCGUAACUUCGGGAGAAGGCACGCUGAUAUGUAGGUGAAGUCCCUUGCGGAUGGAGCUGAAAUCAGUCGAAGAUACCAGCUGGCUGCAACUGUUUAUUAAAAACACAGCACUGUGCAAACACGAAAGUGGACGUAUACGGUGUGACGCCUGCCCGGUGCCGGAAGGUUAAUUGAUGGGGUCAGCGCAAGCGAAGCUCUUGAUCGAAGCCCCGGUAAACGGCGGCCGUAACUAUAACGGUCCUAAGGUAGCGAAAUUCCUUGUCGGGUAAGUUCCGACCUGCACGAAUGGCGUAAUGAUGGCCAGGCUGUCUCCACCCGAGACUCAGUGAAAUUGAACUCGCUGUGAAGAUGCAGUGUACCCGCGGCAAGACGGAAAGACCCCGUGAACCUUUACUAUAGCUUGACACUGAACAUUGAGCCUUGAUGUGUAGGAUAGGUGGGAGGCUUUGAAGUGUGGACGCCAGUCUGCAUGGAGCCGGCCUUGAAAUACCACCCUUUAAUGUUUGAUGUUCUAACGUGGACCCGUGAUCCGGGUUGCGGACAGUGUCUGGUGGGUAGUUUGACUGGGGCGGUCUCCUCCUAAAGAGUAACGGAGGAGCACGAAGGUUGGCUAAUCCUGGUCGGACAUCAGGAGGUUAGUGCAAUGGCAUAAGCCAGCUUGACUGCGAGCGUGACGGCGCGAGCAGGUGCGAAAGCAGGUCAUAGUGAUCCGGUGGUUCUGAAUGGAAGGGCCAUCGCUCAACGGAUAAAAGGUACUCCGGGGAUAACAGGCUGAUACCGCCCAAGAGUUCAUAUCGACGGCGGUGUUUGGCACCUCGAUGUCGGCUCAUCACAUCCUGGGGCUGAAGUAGGUCCCAAGGGUAUGGCUGUUCGCCAUUUAAAGUGGUACGCGAGCUGGGUUUAGAACGUCGUGAGACAGUUC